AUCUUUCUUCCCUAUUUGCUCCGAUCUGUGUUAACCACACGCUUUCAAUUGCUUGUGGCCGGCUCAUUCUGCAACUCCUCCGGCGACCAUCGGAAUUCGGAAGUUUUUACCUCUUUUUCCGGAUCAAAAGAAAUGGAGUUCUUCUUCAGAACACAGACUGAGGAGACAUCUGAUUGCUCCUUCAAUGGCCAGGAUAUUCAAAGAUGCCCGUUCUUGAGUAACAUCAACAAGCCAACAAACUUUUCUUUCUUUUCUGCUCUGAACUUUCCCAGCCCUGUGAAGGGAGGUAAAGGUCCAAUUUUUGAAGAUGGCCCCAACUUCGAUAUGGCAUUUAAAGUCUUCCAUGGAAAAGAUGGGGUUGUCCCACUUUCUGGAAGGUCUCAAUUUUUCAAUGACAACAUUGAAGUAGAGUCUGCCCCUCAAUUUAAUCCUUUAGCUGCAAAAGCUGCCACCAUAAGUUUGUCUUCAUUCGGAGCAGGAGGUCCUUUUAGCUUUGAUUCUUUCUCUCGGAAAUGGAAUUCACAGAAGAAGAAGCCGGAGUCAUCCAAAAAGAAAAAGCCUUCUUCUCAGGACAAAUCUUCUAAGCACGAGGCAAUGGGAAAUGAGUGGUUGGAGUCAGGCAACUGUCCUAUCGCCAAAUCUUAUAGAGCUGUUAGCGGUGUUCUCCCACUUGUGGCCUCAGCUUUUCAGCUGCCUCCCGGUAUGAAGCUCAAAUGCCCGCCUGCAGUUGUUGCAGCCAGGGCUGCCCUCGCCAGGACUGCUUUUGUGAAGACUGUGCGGCCGCAACCACUAUCUUCAAAGAUGCUUGUUAUUGGAGCUUUGGGCAUGGCAGCUAAUAUUCCACUAGGCAUAUGGAGAGAGCACACUGAGAAGUUCUCACUUUCAUGGUUUACUGCAGUCCAUGCUGCUGUUCCCUUCAUAGCUAUGCUGAGGAAGUCAGUUGUGAUGCCCAAAACAGCUAUGGCAUUAACCAUUGCUGCUUCUAUCUUGGGACAGGUCAUUGGCUCAAGAGCAGAGAGACUUCGAAUGAAAGCAAAAGCCGAGAGUGUUAAAUUGGUAGCGCAGACUGGCUCAGAUGGGGUUAUUGCACAGAGUAGCACAGAGGGUGUUAUUGCAGGUCUCAACUCAAUCCAGGUCAGUGGUAUGCCCGGGGUUCAUUGUGGCACACAGGGUAUGCUAAAAGACCAACCCUCGAAAGAAUCUGCCAAUACUAUAUCUCCAUCUGCCAGUCUCUGUUUCUAAACAUUUUUAGAACUGGUAAGUAAGCAGUUGAUCUAUAAUGCUGCUAAUAAGAGAGUGUGCCCCUUGCCAGAGAGAGCAGGAGAUUUAAAAGUAAUAUGCAUUAUUAUAUGUUUAGUGUUUGUAUCAAAUUCAUGUAAAGGACAAAUAUUUCCAUGACCUAUAUGGUCUUGACUCUUGAGUGUUGCAUAAUCCUGAAAUACAAUGUACUAUUGGAUAGAACCUCUAUCAAUAAUAUACCAACCCAUCAUGUUUCCA
Molecule: unclassified non-coding RNA, 1497 nt
Filed under: Hevea brasiliensis (rubber tree)
Lineage: Eukaryota; Viridiplantae; Streptophyta; Magnoliopsida; Malpighiales; Euphorbiaceae
Source: RNAcentral